RNAcentral lists this ribosomal RNA (484 nucleotides) under uncultured bacterium. RNAcentral describes it as "partial 16S ribosomal RNA". It matches the Rfam family "Bacterial small subunit ribosomal RNA", at positions 30 to 507 of the family's 1533-position model. The record is from RNAcentral.
AUUGAACGCUGGCGGCAGGCCUAACACAUGCAAGUCGAGCGGAUGAAGGGUGCUUUCUCCUGGAUUCAGCUUCGGACGGGUGAGUAAUUCCUAGGAAUCUGCCUGGUAGUGCGGGAUUACGUCCGUUAACGGGCGCUAAUACCGCAUACGUCCUUUGGUUGCAUGUGUUGGUUCUUCUGUCCUCUCGCUUUCUGAUGAGCCUAGGUCGUAUUAGCUAGUUGGUGGGGUAAAGGCCUACCAAGGCGACGAUCCGUAACUGGUCUGAGAGGAUGAUCAGUCACACUGGAAGUGAGAAAGGGAACAGAAUACUACGGGAGGGAGCAGAGGGGAAUAGUGGAGAAGGGGGGAAAGGGUGAUACAGGAAAGGGGCGUGUGAGAAGAAGGACGAAGGAUUGGAAAGCACUUGAAGUUGGGAGGAAGGGAAGUAAGAUAAUAGAUGGAUGUAAUGACGGUAACAAAAGAAUAAGCAACGGCUAACUACGUG